This 928-nucleotide ribosomal RNA is filed under the name uncultured bacterium. RNAcentral describes it as "bacterial SSU rRNA". It matches the Rfam family "Bacterial small subunit ribosomal RNA", at positions 46 to 942 of the family's 1533-position model. The record is from RNAcentral.
GUUUUUUUUUUUUGGAGGCGCAGCUACCAUGCAGUCGACGGCAGCACAGUAAGAGCUUGCUCUUACGGGUGGCGAGUGCCUUAACGGGUGAGGAAUGCAUCGGAAUCUACUUUUUCGUGGGGGAUAACGUAGGGAAACUUACGCUAAUACCGCAUACUACCUACGGGUGAAAGCAGGGGAUCUUCGGACCUUGCCCGAUUGAAUGAGCCGAUGUCGGAUUAGCUAGUUGGCGGGGUAAAGGCCCACCAAGGCGACGAUCCGUAGCUGGUCUGAGAGGAUGAUCAGCCACACUGGAACUGAGACCCGGUCCAGACUCCUACGGGAGGCAGCAGUGGGGAAUAUUGGACAAUGGGCGCAAGCCUGAUCCCCCCAUACCGCGUGGGUGAAGAAGGCCUUCGGGUUGUAAAGCCCUUUUGUUGGGAAAGAAAUCCAGCCGGCUAAUACCUGGUUGGGAUGACGGUACCCAAAGAAUAAUUACCGGCUAACUUCGUGCCAGCAGCCGCGGUAAUACAAAGGGUGCAUGCGUUACUCGGAAUUACUGGGCGUAAAGCGUGCUUAGGUGCUCGUUUAAGUCUGUUGAGAAAGCCCUGAGCUCAACCUGGGAACUGCUUUGGAAACUGGACGACUAUAGUGUGUUAGAGGGUAGCGGAUUUCCUGGGGUAGCAGUGAAAUGCGUAGAGAUCCCGAGGUACAUCCAUGGCUAAGGCAGCUACCUGGACGACACUGACACUGAGGCACGAAAGCGUGGGGGAGCAAACAGGAUUAGAUACGCUGCAGUCCACGGCCCAAAACGAUGGCGAACUGGCAUGUUGGGUUGCAUUUUGGCACUACAUAUCGAUGCUAACCCGCUAGUCGCCGCUGCGGAGUUACGUGCCUCAGAAUGAUCUCAAGGAAUUGGAUGGGGGCCUGCACAUGCCCUGGAUAUCGU